RNAcentral lists this long non-coding RNA (325 nucleotides) under Lathyrus oleraceus (garden pea). Its description in RNAcentral is "Pisum sativum (pea) long non-coding RNA (PSAT_LNC041565)". Lineage: Eukaryota; Viridiplantae; Streptophyta; Magnoliopsida; Fabales; Fabaceae. The record is from RNAcentral.
GAUUUCUUUUCAUUUUUGUUUCUUCUUUUUAUUAUUUUUUAUUUUACUUAUAAUUUUAAUCAAACUUUUGAUUUUUUCUUUCUUUUCACAUUUUAAUUAAUUUCUAUUUAAUAUAAUUAUAUAUUAUUAUUUAUUUUUAUUUUUGACCAUUUCACCCCUUUGUUUAUGAUUAUAUUGGUUGAUGACAAUCUUGAAUAUCAUUGAUUAUUGAUCCUAAGGUUGAUUGAACCUUCAACACUUCAAACAUGUUGAUGAAUGAUCAAUGAAUCAUUCUUGACACUUUGAGGUGUUGAUAGGUUACCCUUGGUUGAUCAUACUGUUGAAU